UACGUAGGGGGCAAGCGUUGUCCGGAUUUAUUGGGCGUAAAGAGCGUGUAGGCGGCCUGAAAGGUCAGCUGUGAAAACUCGAGGCUCAACCUCGAGACGUCGGUUGAAACCAUCUGGCUAGAGUCCGGAAGAGGAGAGUGGAAUUCCCGGUGUAGCGGUGAAAUGCGCAGAUAUCGGGAAGAACACCGGUGGCGAAGGCGGUUCUCUGGGCAUGUCCUGACGCUGAGGAGCGAAAGUGUGGGGGAGCGAACAGG
RNAcentral lists this ribosomal RNA (254 nucleotides) under uncultured bacterium. RNAcentral describes it as "partial 16S ribosomal RNA". It matches the Rfam family "Bacterial small subunit ribosomal RNA", at positions 524 to 776 of the family's 1533-position model. The record is from RNAcentral.